This 1557-nucleotide ribosomal RNA is filed under the name Rhizophagus intraradices. RNAcentral describes it as "eukaryotic LSU rRNA". The stretch from base 712 to 1557 matches the Rfam family "Eukaryotic large subunit ribosomal RNA", at positions 1 to 695 of the family's 3401-position model. The record is from RNAcentral. Lineage: Eukaryota; Fungi; Glomeromycota; Glomeromycetes; Glomerales; Glomeraceae.
UAUUGCUCUUGAACGAGGAAUCCCUAGUAAGCACAAGUCAUCAGCUUGUGCUGAUUACGUCCCUGCCCUUUGUACACACCGCCCGUCGCUACUACCGAUUGAAUGGCUUAGUGAGGCCCUCGGAUCGAUGCUCGGAGACUGGCAACAGUUUCCGUUCGUUGAGAAGUUGGUCAAACUUGGUCAUUUAGAGGAAGUAAAAGUCGUAACAAGGUUUCCGUAGGUGAACCUGCGGAAGGAUCAUUACCGAUUUAGCGAACCUGACCUUUGGUCACGGUCUCGCGAAAACUUUGUAUUUAAAACCUCACUCUUAUAAAUUGAAUCAUUCUUAUUAUGUAUACAAUAAAUAAAGAUCACUUUCAACAACGGAUCUCUUGGCUCUCGCAUCGAUGAAGAACGUAGCGAAGUGCGAUAAGUAAUGUGAAUUGCAGAAUUCCGUGAAUCAUCGAAUCUUUGAACGCAAAUUGCGCUCCCUGGCAUCCCGGGGAGUAUGCCUGUUUGAGGGUCAGUGUUAAUAAAAAUCGGUUCGUUGCGAAUUUUUUGUGACGUUUCGGAGUUUGGGUUAUCUUAACUUUUUCGGUUAAGAGGCUUAAAAUUGACCUUUUUUUGUGCAUUUUAGACGUACAUAAAUUUUCUUUUAUUUGUCUAUUAAUGCCAAAAUAUAUUAGAUGCGACCGUAUCGUGUGGUUCCGUGUCUAUAAAUUUUUCAUGAUUUGACCUCAAAUCAGGUAAGAGUACCCGCUGAACUUAAGCAUAUCAAUAAGCGGAGGAAAAGAAAAUAACAAUGAUUCCCCUAGUAACUGCGAGUGAAGAGGGACAAGCUCAAAUUUUAAGUCUGUCGGGUUCUACCUGACAGAGUUGUAAUUUAAAGAAACGUUUUCUGCGUCUUGAGUUAAUCAAAAUCCUUUGGAAUGAGGUAUCAUGGAGGGUGACAAUCCCGUUCAUGGUUAAUUCUAAGAUGCUUUAUGAUGCGUUUUCGAAGAGUCGAGUUGUUUGGGAUUGCAGCUCAAAAUGGGAGGUAAAUUUCUCCUAAGGCUAAAUAUCGGCGAGAGACCGAUAGCGAACAAGUACCGUGAGGGAAAGAUGAAAAGAACUUUGAAAAGAGAGUAAAAUAGUACGUGAAAUUGUUGAAAGGGAAACGAUUGAAGUCAGUCGUACCGACGAGAAAUCAACUUAUCGUGUGCGAACUUGUGGGCGUGCGUGAGUUUCGGCCUCGCUGUUUGCAUGUUUGUGCGCUUUGGGUGUACUUUUUCGUAUGGUAGGCCAACGUCAGUUUCGUUCGCCAUAAAAUGACCGGCGGAAUGUAGCUUCGACCUCGGUUGAAGUGUUAUAGCCUCUGGUAGAUGUGGUGAUCGGGACUGAGGAUUGCAACGAAUAUCCUUUGGGCUAUCCGUCUGACCUCUGAAAGUCGCUCAGGUGUCGAGAGCGUGCUUACGAUUAUCUAAGUUGACGGUCAACAGGCUAGAACGUGAUUACAUUCAUUAAGGACGUUGGCGUAAUGGCUUUAUACGACCCGUCUUGAAACACGGACCAAGGAGUCUAACAUAUGUGCGAGUGUUU